RNAcentral lists this ribosomal RNA (162 nucleotides) under uncultured bacterium. RNAcentral describes it as "partial 16S ribosomal RNA". The record is from RNAcentral.
AUCCUUCGGGAGGCCGCCGUAGGGGAUUUUUCCCCAAGGCAGCAAAUCUGAAUCCUCCACACCGCCGCAGAGCAGAAGGCCUCCGGGUCGUAAAACUCAUUUAGUCCGAAGAACAAAUACCUCUUUAUACGCGGCACCUGACGUCCGCCAAAGCAGUCUGAA